GCCUCCAUCGUCUAGGGGACUAGGACACAACCCUUUCAAGGUUAAAACAAGAGUUCGAAUCUCUUUGGAGGUGCAA
RNAcentral lists this transfer RNA (76 nucleotides) under Flexilinea flocculi. RNAcentral describes it as "tRNA-Glu". It matches the Rfam family "tRNA". From Rfam's summary of the family: Transfer RNA (tRNA) molecules are approximately 80 nucleotides in length. Their secondary structure includes four short double-helical elements and three loops (D, anti-codon, and T loops). Lineage: Bacteria; Bacillati; Chloroflexota; Anaerolineae; Anaerolineales; Anaerolineaceae. The record is from RNAcentral.